AAGUUAUUUAGUGCACAGUGACUCAUGAGUGUUGAAAGAAUCAGUGAAUUUUACAAUGAAUCUGUGCUGUGAAGUGUUUUAAUCAGACUAAACACUGAUGAUGUUUUUAACACAGCAUGACUGAGAUGGAAACAUUUUACAAAGAGAAACUUCAUGAGGCAAGAUCUUCUCUGAAACAAAAAGAGGAAGAACUGAAAUCAGUCAAAGACAGGAAAAGGCUUAGGAAUGAAGAAACCAUGAAACCCAGCUGCCGACGGUGUGAACAACAUGAACGUGAACACAAAG
Long non-coding RNA from Lates calcarifer (barramundi perch), 285 nucleotides. RefSeq lists it as uncharacterized. The record is from RefSeq and is a predicted model, not a curated record. The transcript has 3 exons. NCBI's taxonomy places the organism in Eukaryota, Metazoa, Chordata, Actinopteri, Centropomidae.